RNAcentral lists this ribosomal RNA (170 nucleotides) under uncultured bacterium. RNAcentral describes it as "partial 16S ribosomal RNA". It matches the Rfam family "Bacterial small subunit ribosomal RNA", at positions 338 to 524 of the family's 1533-position model. The record is from RNAcentral.
CCUACGGGAGGCAGCAGUGGGGAAUAUUGCACAAUGGGGGAAACCCUGAUGCAGCGACGCCGCGUGAAGGAAGAAGUAUCUCGGUAUGUAAACUUCUAUCAGCAGGGAAGAUAGUGACGGUACCUGACUAAGAAGCCCCGGCUAACUAAAGUGCCAGCAGCCGCGGUAAU